CGGAGGAUCCAAGCGGUUAUCCGGAAUCGAGUUGGGUUUAAAGGGUCCGUAGGCGGUUUAGUAAGUCAGUGGUGAAAGCCCAUCGCUCAACGGUGGAACGGCCAUUGAUACUGCUAGACUUGAAUUAUUAGGAAGUAACUAGAAUAUGUAGUGUAGCGGUGAAAUGCUUAGAGAUUACAUGGAAUACCAAUUGCGAAGGCAGGUUACUACUAAUGGAUUGACGCUGAUGGACGAAAGCGUGGGUAGCGAACAGGAUUAGAUACCCUGGUAGUCCACGCCGUAAACGAUGGAUACUAGCUGUUGGGAGCGAUCUCAGUGGCUAAGCGAAAGUGAUAAGUAUCCCACCGUGGGGAGUACGUUCGCAAGAAUG
This 370-nucleotide ribosomal RNA is filed under the name uncultured organism. Its description in RNAcentral is "bacterial SSU rRNA". It matches the Rfam family "Bacterial small subunit ribosomal RNA", at positions 526 to 896 of the family's 1533-position model. The record is from RNAcentral.